This 375-nucleotide ribosomal RNA is filed under the name uncultured organism. RNAcentral's name for it is "partial 16S ribosomal RNA". It matches the Rfam family "Archaeal small subunit ribosomal RNA", at positions 477 to 851 of the family's 1478-position model. The record is from RNAcentral.
CAGCACCUCAAGUGGUCAGGAUGAUUAUUGGGCCUAAAGCAUCCGUAGCCGGCUCUGUUAGUUUUCGGUUAAAUCUGUACGCUCAACGUACAGGCUGCCGGGAAUACUGCAGAGCUAGGGAGUGGGAGAGGUAGACGGUACUCGGUAGGAAGGGGUAAAAUCCUUUGAUCUAUUGAUGACCACCUGUGGCGAAGGCGGUCUACCAGAACACGUCCGACGGUGAGGGAUGAAAGCUGGGGGAGCAAACCGGGAUUAGAUACCCGGGUAGUCCCAGCUGUAAACUAUGCAAACUCAGUGAUGCAUUGGCUUGUGGCCAAUGCAGUGCUGCAGGGAAGCCGUUAAGUUUGCCGCCUGGGAAGUACGUACGCAAGUAUG